UGGGGAAUUUUCCGCAAUGGGCGCAAGCCUGACGGAGCAAUACCGCGUGAGGGAGGAAGGCUCUUGGGUCGUAAACCUCUUUUAUCAGGGAAGAACACAAUGACGGUACCUGAUGAAUCAGCAUCGGCUAACUCUGUGCCAGCAGCCGCGGUAAUACAGAGGAUGCAAGCGUUAUCCGGAAUUAUUGGGCGUAAAGCGUCCGCAGGUGGUUUUGGUAGUCUGCUGUCAAAGCGCGAGGCUCAACUUCGUAUCGGCGGUGGAAACUCCAAGACUAGAGCUAGGUAGGGGUCACGGGAAUUCCCAGUGUAGCGGUGAAAUGCGUAGAUAUUGGGAAGAACACCAGCGGCGAAAGCGCGUGACUGGGCCUGAGCUGACACUCAUGGACGAAAGCUAGGGGAGCGAAAG
This 405-nucleotide ribosomal RNA is filed under the name uncultured bacterium. RNAcentral's name for it is "bacterial SSU rRNA". It matches the Rfam family "Bacterial small subunit ribosomal RNA", at positions 355 to 774 of the family's 1533-position model. The record is from RNAcentral.